UAUAGAAAAAAAAAUUUGAAAAUUUUCUUUCUCGAUACACAAAGUUUGCCUGUACUCACGUAACUCCAGUACGACCAGACUGAACAGUAAAGGACUCUUUGAAAAAUGAGCCAGAGCCAAAGACAGCUGUUCAGUAAAAACCAGCUGACUGAAAUCUUAGAAAUUAUUUUUUUCUUAUGUCGAGCCAUUUGAGAACCGGCGGAUUUUUCCAAAGUGUCAUACCAAUCGCCGUAAGGAUUAUGAAUGACGGUAAAGUAUGGAUGAAAUCUGGUCCCACGGCAAUUUUGGCGUAUUCACGGAAAACCUUGUGUUGUAAAAAAAGGACCUCGUGCGGCACUGAGAGAUAUGUCAGCACUUGAGAGUGUAAAGCGCUCAGACAGGACAUCACUAAAACGUGAUGGUCACCUUGGUCCAGAAGAAUAAUCUCAACAGUUGCACCCAGAGGAAUACGACGCACGUGAACGCAUUCGCACGUAGGAGAUUCAUUGCCGGCG
Cephus cinctus (wheat stem sawfly) is the source of this 494-nucleotide long non-coding RNA. RefSeq lists it as uncharacterized. The record is from RefSeq and is a predicted model, not a curated record. The transcript is spliced from 3 exons. NCBI's taxonomy places the organism in Eukaryota, Metazoa, Arthropoda, Insecta, Hymenoptera, Cephidae.